RNAcentral lists this long non-coding RNA (1227 nucleotides) under Homo sapiens (human). RNAcentral describes it as "novel transcript". Lineage: Eukaryota; Metazoa; Chordata; Mammalia; Primates; Hominidae. The record is from RNAcentral.
GGUCUCCUGGCAACGCUGCGGCCCCGCCCACGUCAUGGCGCCUGAGGAGAACGCGGGUACCAAACUCUUGCUGCAGAGUUUCGAGCGCCGCUUCCUAGCGGCGCGCACACUGCGCUCCUUCCCCUGGCAGGUGGGCGGCGGGGCGAGCGGAGAGGCCUGCGGGGCUUGCGGAAGUCCAGGGGCAGACGGGAUGGGUCUCCCUGCUGAAACCCCCGGCGCUCCUGCCACGUGAGUUCCUGGGCUCUCCCCGGUCAGGGCCACGAGACCCGGUCCCCGUCCCUGGGGCCUGGCCAGAGUCGCUCUCACCCCUCCUGCCCCGCGAGCUGGCGGCGGAAGCUGGGGGCGUCUCCACAGUCUUGGGGGGCAGACGCGCGCUCGGUGUGGGGUACAGUUCACGAUCAUUUUCAUGACUUUUUAAAGGCAGUAAUCGUUCUGGUCACUGGGACACAGCUGCCCUCGCCCAUUCUAAAAAGUCAGCACCCUCAGGCCCGCGGGUAACCACCUCCUCCUGAGCACGGUGACCAGGUCAAAGGCUGUCCCUCGGGCCUCAGUGUUCUCAUCUGUAUGUCGAGCACUGCACAGAAUCAGCUCAUGCGCUGAGGCUUUCACUCCUGUGAUGGAAGAGACAGAGAAGGGGGUGGCCUCUCCUCUCCCUGGGGACCUGCCAUUCUCAGCACAGGCGCAUGGCAGGCAGCAGCCUCCCUUCUGCCAGCAGAGGGGCUUAAUGCACCCUGCUCCAUUUGUAAUUCAUGUGCGGUGAGCUCACUGGGAUGAGUCAGUUUGGAUAUAUAUUCCUCCCUGGGUCUGCCCCAUUUUAUGGGGUGUUGCUUAAUCAUUUGCGUUAUUCCAUUGACAUGAAAUAUUUAGCACUCAGAGAUCAUUUCUGGUCAGGAGAAAUUUGUGCAUUUUUAACCCAAAAUAGAAACCUUCAUAAAAGCAUCAUAGGUCUCCAUUCAGUAUUGACUAUAAUUGUUCACAUGCCCACGCUGAAUGCUAACUUGGGCUCACCAUCAACACCCACGAGGUGGGUACUAUUAUUAUCACUCACAUUUGACCAGAGGGAUUGUUUGAUUAGGGUGUAGUAGUUGAGAGUUCAGACCCAGGAGACAGCCUGCCUGCUUCAAAUCCUGGCCCAACCCCUGGCCCUGUGUGACCUUGGGCAAGUGACUGCAUCUCUCUGUGCUGUUGUUUUCUUAUUAAUAAAAUGGUUGAUAUAAUGAUACCUAC